This 460-nucleotide ribosomal RNA is filed under the name uncultured bacterium. RNAcentral describes it as "partial 16S ribosomal RNA". It matches the Rfam family "Bacterial small subunit ribosomal RNA", at positions 338 to 795 of the family's 1533-position model. The record is from RNAcentral.
CCUACGGGAGGCAGCAGUGAGGAAUAUUGGUCAAUGGACGAAAGUCUGAACCAGCCAAGCCGCGUGAAGGAAGACGGCUCUAUGAGUUGUAAACUGCUUUUGUACGGGGGUAAACGCAGAUACGUGUAUCAGUCUGAAAGUAUCGUAUGAAUAAGGAUCGGCUAACUCCGUGCCAGCAGCCGCGGUAAUACGGAGGAUCCGAGCGUUAUCCGGAUUUAUUGGGUUUAAAGGGUGCGUAGGCGGUCGGAUAAGUUAGAGGUGAAAUCCCGAGGCUCAACCUCGGAAUUGCAUCUGAUACUGUUCGUCUAGAGAGUAGUUGCGGUAGGCGGAAUGUAUGGUGUAGCGGUGAAAUGCUUAGAGAUCAUACAGAACACCGAUUGCGAAGGCAGCUUACCAAGCUACUACUGACGUUGAGGCACGAAAGCGUGGGUAGCAAACAGGAUUAGAUACCCGAGUAGUC